This 1593-nucleotide ribosomal RNA is filed under the name Phoenix dactylifera (date palm). RNAcentral describes it as "SSU rRNA". It matches the Rfam family "Eukaryotic small subunit ribosomal RNA", at positions 5 to 1603 of the family's 1831-position model. The record is from RNAcentral. Lineage: Eukaryota; Viridiplantae; Streptophyta; Magnoliopsida; Arecales; Arecaceae.
UGGUUGAUCCUGCUAGUUGUCAUAUGCUUGUCUCAAAGAUUAAGCCAUGCAUGUAUAAGUAUGAACUAAUUCAGACCAUGAAACUGCGAAUGGCUCAUUAAAUCAGUUAUAGUUUGUUUGAUGGUACGCGCUACUCGGAUAACUGUAGUAAUUCUAGAGUUAAUACGUGCAACAAACAUUAACUUCUGGAAGGGAUGCAUUUAUUAGAUAAAAGGUCGACACGGGCUCUGCCCGGCGCUCCGAUGAUUCAUGAUAACUCGACAGACCGCACAGCCCAUGUGCCGGCGAUGCAUCAUUCAAAUUUCUGCCCUAUCAACUUUCGAUGGUAGGAUAAGGGCCUACCAUGGUGGUGACGGGUGACGGAGAAUUACGGUUCGAUUUCGGAGAGGGAGCCUGAGAAACGGCUACCACAUCCAAGGAAGGCAGCAGGCGCGCGAAUUACUCAAUCCUGACACGGGAAUGUAGUGACCAUAAAUAAUAAUACCGAGCUCCUCGAGUCUGGUAAUUGGAAUGAGUAAAAUCUAAAUCCCUUAACGAGGAUCCAUUGGAGCGCAAGUCUGGUGCCAGCAGCCGCGGUAAUUCCAGCUCCAAUAGCGUAUAUUUAAGUUUGUGCAGUUAAAAAGCUCAUAGUUGGACCUUGGGCUGGGCCGGCUUGUCCGCCCCAUGUUGUGCACCGGCCUUCCCGUCCCUUCUGCCGACGAUGCGCUCCUGUCCUUAGCUGGACGGGUCGUGCCUCCGGCGCCGUUACUUUGAAGAAAUUAGAGUGCUCAAAGCAAGCCCACGCACUGGAUACAUUAGCAUGGGAUAACAUCACAGGAUUUCGGUCCUAUUGUGUUCGCCUUCAGGAUCGGAGUAAUGAUUAAGCAGGACAGCCGGGGGCAUUCAUAUUUCAUAGUCAGAGGUGAAAUUCUUAGAUUUAUGAAAGACGAACCACUGCGAAAGCAUUUGCCAAGGAUGUUUUCAUUAAUCAAGAACAAAAGUUGGGGGCUUGAAGACGAUCAGAUACCGUCCUAGUCUCAACCAUAAACGAUGCCGACCAGGGAUCGAUGGAUGUUGCUUUCAGGACUCCGCUGGCACCUUAUGAGUAAUCAAAGUUUUUGGGUUCCGGGGAGAGUAUAGUCGCAAGGCUAAAACUUAAAAGAAUUGAUGGAAGGGCACCACCAGGAGUGGAGCCUGCGGCUUAAUUUGACUCAACACGGAAAAACUUACCAGGUCCAGACAUAGCAACAAUUGACAGACUGAGAGCUCUUUCUUGAUUCUAUGGGUGGUGGUGCAUGGCCGUUCUUAGUUGGUGGAGCGAUUUGUCUGGUUAAUUUCAUUAACGAAUGAAACCUCUGCCUGCUAACUAGCUAUGCGGAGGCAUCCCUCCACGGCCAGCUUCUUAGAGGGACUAUGGCCGCUUAGGCCACGAAAGUUUGAGGCAAUAACAGGUCUGUGUGUUGGAAACCCUAGUGGUCGCAUGCAUAUAUUUUUAAAAAUUUUACAGCAGAAGCAUGAAUUAAACUAUUUAAUUCCUAUGCAUGCUAGAGAUCAUAUCUCUACAAUAAAAAUAGAUCCAGGAUUUUAAACAUUUAUCCUAAACAAGUAUGCAUG